GGGAAGUCCUUAAGUCUUAUUUGUGGGGCCCUCUCCUGGCUCCGUGACUUUGAACAGAAGAAGCGUGAAGAAGAGGCACGACUCCUUGAAACUGGAACUGGCCCCUUACAUGAUGAGAAAGAUGAAUCCCUGUGUCUAUCUUCUUCCUGCGAAGGGGCUGCAGGCACCCCGAGGCCUGCUGGAGAACCGGCCUGGGUUACUCAGUUUGUGCAGAAGAAAGAAGAGAGGGACCUGGUGGACCGACUAAAGGUGGAGCAGGCCAGGAGGAAGCAGCGAGAAGAACGCCUGCAGCAGCUGCAGCACAGGGUGCAGCUCAAGUAUGCAGCCAAGCGCCUGAGGCAGGAAGAAGAAGAAACAGAGAAUCUCCUCCGCCUCAGCAGGGAGAUGCUAGAGACAGGCCCGGAGGCUGAGCGGCUGGAGCAGCUGGAGUCUGGGGAGGAGGAGCUGGUCCUCGCCGAAUACGAGAGUGAUGAGGAGAAAAAGGUGGCGAGCGGAGUGGAUGAGGAUGAGGAUGACCUGGAGGAAGAACACAUAACUAAGAUUUAUUACUGUAGUCGGACACACUCCCAGCUGGCCCAGUUUGUGCAUGAGGUGAAGAAGAGCCCCUUUGGCAAGGAUGUUCGGCUUGUCUCCCUCGGCUCCCGGCAGGUAAACAGUAGCCAGUAUUUCCACCAGGGGCCAUCCUGCUCCUUUCCCCACAACUUUGUCCUGCUCGUCCAGGCCUGGGAGACGCUGGGUCUGUGACAGGCUGAACCGUGUGAGGAGCAGCCCCCUCCCUGGCCUGGCCGGCCCAUCACUGGAAGGCAAAGGAGAGGUGGCGGGGGCAGGUCCACGUGUGUUGGUAGGAUGUUAUUUAGCUGGCACCAUCUCUUUGCCUCUUUUUUUCUCCUUUGUUGCAGAACCUUUGUGUAAAUGAAGACGUGAGAAGCCUAGGUUCUGUGCAGCUUAUCAACGACCGCUGCGUGGACAUGCAGAGAAGCAGGCACGGUAGCCACUGGGACCAUGGUGUAGCCGCAGGUGGUCUGGAGAGAGUGAGGCAGGGGUGGCAGUGACUGAAGACCAUUCAGUGUCUUUCAUAGAAAGAAUGGCAGAGGAGACCCCAGUUCCUUCCUGAGUCCCCUCUCCUUGGGAAAAAGUGUUCCUACUCUCUGGGUGAGCGUCUGGUCCGAAUCGUUGGCUUGGAGAUGAUUUUACGGGCUCUUUCUGGAGAACAAAAGUAAAACCUUACAGUGUUCCGAUGAGACCACAGUAGGCAGUACUUGGGAGGGUCUUAUAGACCCCACCCCGUGGAAGUGGGUCUCAACAUUACACAACCCCCUCUCGGGCCUGUGGACAGUUGCUGUCCUCUCUGUUUUCUCUCUUUGUGCCUGUGCCACCCUC
This 1380-nucleotide small RNA is filed under the name Pan troglodytes (chimpanzee). RNAcentral's name for it is "retained intron". The record is from RNAcentral. Lineage: Eukaryota; Metazoa; Chordata; Mammalia; Primates; Hominidae.